Molecule: long non-coding RNA, 604 nt
Organism: Prunus avium (sweet cherry)
Lineage: Eukaryota; Viridiplantae; Streptophyta; Magnoliopsida; Rosales; Rosaceae
Source: RefSeq, a predicted model, not a curated record
GGGGACGGUCAUUUUUGGCUGCUUAUAUACACUGAUACUGGACGGUCAUUUUUGCUGGUUAUAUAUAAACUGAUACUGAUUUUUUAUGCCAACUUAUAAGAGAGCCAAAUGUGAGACGCAAACAAAGCUAUGUGAUAUAAAUAUUGUGAUGGAUCUAAAAAAGUUUUAAAGAAACAAAGGUAAAUGGUACUCCAUAGUGUCUGCCAAAGUUUGAAGAAGGAAAGAUAUUGAGAUCCCCACUCAGUUUCACCGCAAAAAAAGGAGUAUCUCCUUGUAGGGAUGGAGGAAGUAGUACCCUUCUGUUUUUCCUUGGGAGGCCAAAAGUAUUUGAUGGAUUUUCCUGGUCGUAUUCAUAUCGGAUCAGAUGUGAUGGCACAAGGGUGGUCCUUGGAUUCAUCAAGAUCAUCAUGGACAUGGACCAUAUAUAUAAAUAAUGUGAUGAGACUAGACAAUUGGAAUCGCUGAUUUGGACCGUUGAAGUGAAUACUGUACCAAUUUUUUGGAAGCAUGUGUAAGCGAGCUGUCGACAUUCCUUGCGCAUGAAGUGAAUGUUUUCAUGUUGUGUGCGUGAUAGGACUCUUCUAAUAUAUAAGAUACUUUUUUG